Long non-coding RNA from Saccostrea echinata, 254 nucleotides. RefSeq lists it as uncharacterized. The record is from RefSeq and is a predicted model, not a curated record. Lineage: Eukaryota; Metazoa; Mollusca; Bivalvia; Ostreida; Ostreidae. The transcript has 3 exons.
AUGAAGAUCUUUUGCAUUCAAGUGAAACUGUCAAUUCAGGACUAGAUUCUGAUACCCUAAAAGAAUAUGAAGCAGUGAAUGAAAGAAUGGGAUUGUCUUGUGGAGUUUUAAAAAAACGAUCGAAUUUAUGUUAUACUAGAUGGCAUCGACUAAGAUUAAAAACCUAAGGGUAUUACAGAAGAGGAAUAGAAUAUUACACUGUGGCAGUUGUUGAAUACUUGGGAGUAAUAGAGAAGAACAAGUAAACCUACUGC